AGUAUCAGGAUUAUGAAGAUGAUUCUGACUUUGAUAAUUAGGACUGCUAGUAUUGCUUCUUCUAAAAAACUUUUAGUAGGAUGUCUGUAUCUAGUGUUCAGGUCCCUUUAAUUUAUGGAUCAUGUAAAUUGCCUUUUACCCGUUUCGCCUUGAUUAAUGGUUCUUUGCCAGCCCUAUUUAAUCGCGAACUAAAAGAUGAGGAAAUGACUUGACAACUCAAAACUGUCUGUAUUAUCCUUAUGUACUCUUUAUUGCCGCAAAUGAUACUUUUCAUUCUUUGUACUCUUUUAACUGUCCAGAAAUAGCAUUUGACUUGAUAUUUUGAACCAGUUUCAGAAAUGACGUUUGGUUUGAUGUACUAUUUCUCUUCAGUUAUGAGCUUAUUUGAAUUGUCAACAAAUAGUUGACAAAUUGAUUUUAGCUGAAGCUUUUUUGUCUGAAUCUUGUUUUAUUCUAGAUCUCUUUACAGUCCUUUCUUAUGGAAAUUUUAAUUCUGUUUGUUACCUUUUCUCCUCUCUAAAUUAUUCAAUCUGAAAAUGAAUGGAAGAAGGGAUUAAGCUGUGCAAUAUAGAACACCACCUUCCACGUUGACUUUUCGUUUUCUUAGAUGGUCUUAUGAUCUUGGACUCCAAGAAGGAAAUAUCAAGAGGAAAAAGCUGCAAGUGAAAGAAAUUAUUCUUACAUUGCCAUACAUGUAGUUCAAGAUUUUGGAUGAAAAUGUUAAUUGAAUUGUAAAAAUAAGGAGUAAGAGGCAUUUACAUUCAUGCAUGCUACAGCUAGUAUUUGCAUGUCCUGUUAGGGGAAAAAAAAAAGGCACAUUGAAAAUUCAAUGUCGGGCUAAAACAAUGUGGUCAGACUCUCUCACGCCAGGUAGUAGAGGGAAAGCGGGUUCUAUAUGGUGUAACAAUGUUUAUUUUAUAACUAGCUAUUAAUCAAUGGAUCGAUAAUAAUUUUUACCACUCUGUUUAAAUGCCUAAAUCGACUGUUUCAUUUUGUUGAGCAGCAAAUUUAUGUUGAUAGUAUGUCCCUUGGACCUGAGUUUUACCCUUCGGUGUUCAUUUGCCUAAAGCAACAAAAUGGGGCAACAGAAAUGAGAAAACCUCAAGUUUGUUCCAAAAAUAAGCUGAUUUUAUUUUAUUGGUGUUUUGAAAACGACCUAAGAUGAAGCUAUAGGCCCUUUGUUCGAUUCCUGAACUCAGAAUCUGGGAGUCUGGACUGAAGUUGUCAGAUAAAAUUGGCCAAUUUUAACAUCCAUCACUUGCUAAAGAGCAAAAAUAGAGCUUCCUAGCAAACUACUAAGAAAGGGAAAUAGUUUUGAGAGUUCAUUGUGUGCCUCUUUCUUUUUUAUUACUAGGCAAAAGAUGCACAUAUAUAAUUAGCUUAAAUAAACUUAUGAACCUAAUCAACAUUUGUAUUAUCAGCUUCUAAUGAUGCUUUAACAAUGAAACUAAUCCAAUUUUUAGUGUCUAUUUGUUGAUUGAUUAAUGCUUUUCUUUGGUAGCAAUUGCAUCAAUUGAAGUUUGCAUACUUAAACCAGUCUGUUUUUCUAAGGUCCUUCUAUUAAUAAAUUUAAUACCAAAAUGGGACUGCAACCACUUAAACCAGUCUAUUUUUCUAAGGUCCUUCUAUUAAUAAAUUUAAUACCAAAAUGGGACUGCAACCACUUAAAGCUGAUCCCGCACCAAACUUUCUUCAAUUUUCAAAGCAAUUCAUUUUUUCGUGUAUGUUUUUCUAUGAAUUAUGAACCAUAGAGAGAGUGAAUGAAGGUAGAAAGAAAAUCAUAUCCAUUUGAAAUACUCAACCACCAUUGGUUGCUAAUGCUGCCUGUGUCUAUGAGAAAAUGAAGACCAUGAUUAAUAUAAUAUUCUCUCAUCUCCAAAUAUAUAUAUUUUUAUUUUUAUGUUUUGCCAAAUACAAACCAAAUUUUAUGAUGAUAGAGUUAUUGAUUCUUUGGAACUCAAACUUUGGCAAUACAACAAACUUACUUUACAUACAACAGAAAUCAACGUCCAAAAGAAACACUCAAGAAAAAGAGGCAAAAAAAAAAAAAAAAAAAGAAAACGAAUAUCGGCUAAAGAAGGUAUGAGUGUAGUAAAAACCAUGUUUCAUCCACUAGUAAAAAGAUAAUAAUAUGUUACAAAAAAAAAUAAAAAUAAUGAUAGUACAAAUUAAGCAAGUAUCAUUUCAAAAACACCACCCUACUUGUGAUUAAAAAAUGUCUUCCAAAACUCUCAGGUUACAUUUAUAUGUGUUUGAUAUCUUGUCUUGUAGCAGUUAUAAUGAUCUAUAAUCAUUUUUUCCCCAAGAAAAAGGGGUAGUUGAUAAGCUCAUAAUGUAGUUACAUUUUAUGUAUGAGUUUUUCUAACGGGUGUCCUUGGGUUACUCGUCAACACAUCUAGUAUUCACCUAACCUAUUAUAUAUAUACACAUACUAAUAAUUAUUAUCCUUUCUUGCAUUUAUAUACUUUUCUUAUUUAAUCUUAUCUACCCUUCCUUAUAUUUAUUUACUUUCCUUAAUUAAUCUUAUAUUUUCAAAAAUAUAACACCUGAAAUAUAUCUUAAUGAAUGCCUUAUGGGCACCCGUUAGACAAACUGUUUAUGUAUUAAUUUACUCCAUUUUAGUUAAUUACUAGCAUCAUUAUUAUCACAUUUGUUACAUUAAUGAGUUAUUUUUAUUUUUGUAGGUCGUCGCCUAAAUUAGGUUAUUUCCUUGAAGUUUUUGGAAAAUUUCGCAUGAUUUUGUUAAUCUGAAAUUUCUAGAGUUUAUCCGUGCUUAAAUGGACUUAAAGGGUUGUUAAAGGAAGGUUUGUCGAUGCCAAAAUAUGUUGGGAAAGCUGUGGAAAAGAACGAAAUCGCGUUAGCACUACCAUAGAAGACUUAUGGUAAUCAGUUUUACAAUCCAAUCGCGCUUGAGAUUCAGAUUUUGCAGGUUUCAGUAUUUUGAAUAUAUCUUGAACUACAGAUAUAAGAUUGAGAUUAUUCUUGAUAUGCAUUAAAAACUAAUAUCUGGAGCUACAAUUCUUAUGAAAAAUACCAAAAUCCAGUUCUAUCAUUUUAAUAUUGAAAAAAAGUUGAGUUACAGUAGCGAUUCCUGCUGCCAAGUUUUUGAAAACUUCCUCAAUAGGCUUUUGACUAGUAGGUGGUAAUUUUGGCGUAUCUCAAUAACCAAAACUUCCAAUUGACUUGAUCUGAUCUAACCUUGGAUCAAUAUCCUACAACUUAUCAUGUUUUAGUCCAGAUCUGAUUCGAUGUGCUUUAAUGCAAUAGUUCAAGUCAGAUGCUGUCCAAAUCCUUCAACAACUCUGAUUUCCUGAUAUGACUUAAACUUCUUUUAUGGGCUGGAUCUUUUCAUGAAUUAUCAUCCAAGCACUCAAGGAUAUCCUACGAAAUCAAUGCAAAUACCUAGAAGGAGCAUCAACUUCUUAAUGGGCUGGAUCUUUUUGUGAAUUAUCAUCCAAGCAAUGACAGAGUCAAGGAUGGCUAAGUUUAGAAAAUUUUAAGGGGGAUUCGUUUAAAAUAUCUCUCACAUUUUAUAAAAUAACUUUUUUUGUCAUUUACUUUUAAAAGUAUAAUUUUAUGUCCUUUACAAAUUUACAUUUGUCAAAUUUGAUCUCUACCUAGGUUUUCGACUAAUUUUUAGCCAGAAUCUACCACGUACCUUGCACAUGAUUAUUUUUUACGAGUAAAAUUGUCAAAUCAAAUUUUAUAUAAUUCGAUUUAUAAUCCCUCAUAUUUCACAAAAUGAAUUUUUUUUUAUCCCUUAUAUUUUACAAAAUUAAUUUUUUCAUCCUUCACAUUUUUCAAAAUAGAUUUUUUCAUCCUUCAUUGAUCAUAUGUGCGAAUAGUUUUUUUUUAAACCCAUAUACAUAUAUGUGUAUAUAUAUAUAUAUAUAUAUCUAUUUGAUUUUCACCUGAAUAGUACAAAUAGCAUGUACGAAUAGCAUGUAAUAUAUCUCUAUUUGAUUUCGCUGUAUAUAUCUAUUUGAUUUCACCUAAAUAGUAUGAAUAGAUUUAAAUUAGAGUCAGGCAAAGGCCGCUUUGAUACUUGAACGACUAAUUCCUGUGAAAACAAUUAGGACUUGUUCUGUACCGCUUGGUAGACCUAGUUCUCUUGCUAGAAUUGUUAUCAUCAGUUUUUAUCAUUCACUAUGUUUGAUGAUUCAACUCCUACCUGAUUUCCUUAUUGGAAGUACAUUUUCUUUUUUGGAAGUAGAAUAAUGCAUAUUUUCUAGUCCUGCAUUAAGUAAUGCGCAUGAUUAGUUCAUAUAAAUAAAAAUUGAUGAAAAAGUCAUUAGAUUAAUUACUAUAAAAUCAGUGGUCACAACCUAUUUUUCUGUCAUUACUGUAAGAGUUUACUAAAAUUUCUUAGGGUAUAUCACUUUUUUUUCAGGGGAAUAUCCCAUCUACAUUACUUUUUCUUUUACCUAUAAAUUAAUUUAAAUCGCAUUCAAAAUGUACUAGUAGCUAUGUUAGUUAAAUUGCACUAUCCUUAUG
This 4494-nucleotide long non-coding RNA is filed under the name Coffea arabica (coffee). RNAcentral describes it as "long non-coding RNA (CARA_LNC006617)". The record is from RNAcentral. Lineage: Eukaryota; Viridiplantae; Streptophyta; Magnoliopsida; Gentianales; Rubiaceae.